This 433-nucleotide ribosomal RNA is filed under the name uncultured bacterium. Its description in RNAcentral is "partial 16S ribosomal RNA". It matches the Rfam family "Bacterial small subunit ribosomal RNA", at positions 29 to 507 of the family's 1533-position model. The record is from RNAcentral.
AACGAACGCUGGCGGCAUGCCUAACACAUGCAAGUCGAACGAGACCUUCGGGUCUAGUGGCGCACGGGUGCGUAACGCGUGGGAACCUGCCCUUAGGUUCGGAAUAACUCCCCGAAAGGGGUGCUAAUACCGGAUAAUGUCUUCGGACCAAAGAUUUAUCGCCUUUGGAUGGGCCCGCGUUGGAUUAGCUAGUUGGUAGGGUAAAAGCCUACCAAGGCGACGAUCCAUAGCUGGUCUGAGAGGAUGAUCAGCCACACUGGGACUGAGACACGGCCCAGACUCCUACGGGAAGCAGCAGUGGGGAAUAUUGGACAAUGGGCGAAAGCCUGAUCCAGCAAUGCCGCGUGAGUGAUGAAGGCCUUAGGGUUGUAAAGCUCUUUUACCCGGGAUGAUAAUGACAGUACCGGGAGAAUAAGCUCCGGCUAACUCCUUG